RNAcentral lists this ribosomal RNA (686 nucleotides) under uncultured Lachnospiraceae bacterium. Its description in RNAcentral is "bacterial SSU rRNA". It matches the Rfam family "Bacterial small subunit ribosomal RNA", at positions 24 to 723 of the family's 1533-position model. Lineage: Bacteria; Bacillati; Bacillota; Clostridia; Lachnospirales; Lachnospiraceae. The record is from RNAcentral.
UCAGGACGAACGCUGGCGGCGCGCCUAACACAUGCAAGUCGAACGAGCGAGAGAGAGCUUGCUUUCUCAAGCGAGUGGCGAACGGGUGAGUAACGCGUGAGGAACCUGCCUCAAAGAGGGGGACAACAGUUGGAAACGACUGCUAAUACCGCAUAAGCCCACGGCUCGGCAUCGAGCAGAGGGAAAAGGAGCAAUCCGCUUUGAGAUGGCCUCGCGUCCGAUUAGCUAGUUGGUGAGGUAACGGCCCACCAAGGCGACGAUCGGUAGCCGGACUGAGAGGUUGAACGGCCACAUUGGGACUGAGACACGGCCCAGACUCCUACGGGAGGCAGCAGUGGGGAAUAUUGCACAAUGGGGGAAACCCUGAUGCAGCGACGCCGCGUGGAGGAAGAAGGUCUUCGGAUUGUAAACUCCUGUUGUUGAGGAAGAUAAUGACGGUACUCAACAAGGAAGUGACGGCUAACUACGUGCCAGCAGCCGCGGUAAAACGUAGGUCACAAGCGUUGUCCGGAAUUACUGGGUGUAAAGGGAGCGCAGGCGGGAAGACAAGUUGGAAGUGAAAUCCAUGGGCUCAACCCAUGAACUGCUUUCAAAACUGUUUUUCUUGAGUAGUGCAGAGGUAGGCGGAAUUCCCGGUGUAGCGGUGGAAUGCGUAGAUAUCGGGAGGAACACCAGUGGCGAAGGCG